This 492-nucleotide ribosomal RNA is filed under the name uncultured bacterium. RNAcentral's name for it is "bacterial SSU rRNA". It matches the Rfam family "Bacterial small subunit ribosomal RNA", at positions 28 to 507 of the family's 1533-position model. The record is from RNAcentral.
GAUGAACGCUAGCUACAGGCUUAACACAUGCAAGUCGAGGGGAAACGAUAGAGAAAGCUUGCUUUUUCUAGGCGUCGACCGGCGCACGGGUGAGUAACGCGUAUCCAACCUGCCCACCACUUGGGGAUAACCUUGCGAAAGUAAGACUAAUACCCAAUGACGUCUCUAGAAGACAUCUGAAAGGGAUUAAAGAUUUAUCGGUGAUGGAUGGGGAUGCGUCUGAUUAGCUUGUUGGCGGGGUAACGGCCCACCAAGGCUACGAUCAGUAGGGGUUCUGAGAGGAAGGUCCCCCACAUUGGAACUGAGACACGGUCCAAACUCCUACGGGAGGCAGCAGUGAGGAAUAUUGGUCAAUGGGCGAGAGCCUGAACCAGCCAAGUAGCGUGCAGGAUGACGGCCCUAUGGGUUGUAAACUGCUUUUAUAAGGGAAUAAAGUGAGUCUCGUGAGGCUUUUUGCAUGUACCUUAUGAAUAAGGACCGGCUAAUUCCGUG